GGCAUAGCAGAAGCCUAAAACGCCAAACCCGGAGCUGCCGCGCCAGUCGUCGAGCAGCGCCCCGUUAGUUCUUGUUCCAGAGCUUCGUCCGACACGCCGGCUAGCGAGACGCUUCUGCCGCCCUCUUUCUCCCUCAGCUCUUCUUCCUUCGCUCAGUUUGUUGGGAACGUGAAAGGAGAAGGCCCGGGGACGCCCCAAAACCCCUUCUGUUCCUGCCCAUCGCAAGUGCCACUACUGCCAUGGGCCUCACCAUCUCCUCCCUUUUCUCCCGCCUCUUCGGCAAGAAGCAGAUGCGCAUUUUGAUGGUUGGAUUGGAUGCUGCUGGCAAGACGACCAUUCUGUAUAAACUGAAGUUAGGGGAGAUAGUCACCACCAUUACCUACCAUUGGUUUUAAUGUGGAAACAGUAGAAUAUAAGAACAUUUGUUUCACAGUAUGGGAUGUUGGUGGACAAGAUAAAAUUAGGCCUCUCUGGAGGCAUUACUUCCAAAACACCCAGGGUCUUAUUUUUGUGGUAAAUAGUAAUGAUCGUGAAAGAAUUCAGGAAGGAGCUGAAGAGCUGCAGAAAAUGCUUCAGGAAGAUGAGUUGCGAGAUGCAGUGUUGCUGCUUUUUGCGAAUAAACAGGAUUUGCCAAAUGCUAUGGCCAUCAGUGAAAUGACAGAUAAAUUAGGUCUUCAGUCUCUUUGUAACAGAACAUGGUAUGUUCAAGCCACUUGUGCUACACAAGGAACUGGUCUGUAUGAGGGACUUGACUGGCUGUCAAACGAGCUUUCAAAACGUUAAAUGAAACUGGAUAUCUAACCAAGGACACAUUUGAUAGAAUUGGUCUAGGCUUGUUACAACAAAAUUAGUUUGCAUCUUGGUUAUUAAACAGUAUCUGGGACUGGUUUGGGCAGAAUAUUACAGCGUUUAAACUUAUUUUGUUGCCAAUUAUUGUUGACCAAGUAUAAUAUUGCUAUUUAGCAAUAGGCUUGGUUUUAAAGAAAUUCUCCUUAACUUGGG
Molecule: RNA transcript, 1002 nt
Organism: Odobenus rosmarus divergens (Pacific walrus)
Lineage: Eukaryota; Metazoa; Chordata; Mammalia; Carnivora; Odobenidae
Gene name: ADP-ribosylation factor 4-like
Exons: 1
Source: RefSeq, a predicted model, not a curated record